GACGAACGCUGGCGGCGUGCUUAACACAUGCAAGUCGAACGAAGAGCGAUGGAAGCUUGCUUCUAUCAAUCUUAGUGGCGAACGGGUGAGUAACGCGUAAUCAACCUGCCCUUUAGAGGGGGCCAACAGUUGGAAACGACUGCUAAUACCGCAUACGAUCUAAUCUCGGCAUCGGGGGUAGAUGAAAGGUGGCCUCUACAUGUAAGCUAUCACUGAAGGGGGGGAGUGCGUCUGUUUAGUGAGUUGGAGGGGUAACGGAGCACCAAGGCGAUGAUGAGUAGCCGGUCUGCGAGGACGAGCGGCCACAUUGAGACUGAGACACGGCCCAGACUGCUACGGGAGGCAGCAGUGGUGAUUCUUCCGCAAUGGACGAAAGUCUGACGGAGCAACGCCGCGUGAGGGAGGACGGCCGUCGGGUUGUAAAGCUCGGUUAAUCGGGACGAAAGGCCUUCUUGCUAAUAGUGAGAAGGAUUGACGGUACCGGAAUAGAAAGCCACGGCUAACUACGUG
Molecule: ribosomal RNA, 510 nt
Filed under: uncultured bacterium
Lineage: Bacteria
Description: partial 16S ribosomal RNA
Rfam family: Bacterial small subunit ribosomal RNA
Source: RNAcentral